This 584-nucleotide ribosomal RNA is filed under the name uncultured bacterium. RNAcentral describes it as "bacterial SSU rRNA". It matches the Rfam family "Bacterial small subunit ribosomal RNA", at positions 338 to 915 of the family's 1533-position model. The record is from RNAcentral.
CCUACGGGAGGCAGCAGUAGGGAAUCUUCCGCAAUGGACGAAAGUCUGACGGAGCAACGCCGCGUGAACGAUGAAGGCCUUCGGGUCGUAAAGUUCUGUUGUUAGGGAAGAACAAGUGCUAGUUGAAUAAGCUGGCACCUUGACGGUACCUAACCAGAAAGCCACGGCUAACUACGUGCCAGCAGCCGCGGUAAUACGUAGGUGGCAAGCGUUGUCCGGAAUUAUUGGGCGUAAAGCGCGCGCGGGCGGUUUCUUAAGUCUGAUGUGAAAGCCCCCGGCUCAACCGGGGAGGGUCAUUGGAAACUGGGAAACUUGAGUGCAGAAGAGGAAAGUGGAAUUCCAAGUGUAGCGGUGAAAUGCGUAGAGAUUUGGAGGAACACCAGUGGCGAAGGCGACUUUCUGGUCUGUAACUGACGCUGAGGCGCGAAAGCGUGGGGAGCAAACAGGAUUAGAUACCCUGGUAGUCCACGCUGUAAACGAUGAGUGCUAAGUGUUAGAGGGUUUCCGCCUUCAGUGCUGAAGUUAACGCAUUAAGCACUCCGCCUGGGGAUACGGUCGCAAGACUGAAACUUAANGAAUUGACG